Molecule: RNA transcript, 1089 nt
Organism: Corticium candelabrum
Lineage: Eukaryota; Metazoa; Porifera; Homoscleromorpha; Homosclerophorida; Plakinidae
Exons: 5
Source: RefSeq, a predicted model, not a curated record
CUACGGGUUGUCAAAGCGUCCAAUCAGAAGAAUAUAAAUACUCAAAUAGCAUGAUUUGAUGUAGAAUCAGCGGAUCAGCAGGUGUAUUCCUAACUCUGCAAUGUUCUGUUGAUUUCCAUGCCUCAGCUGAUAUGGAGGUGGCUACCGCUCUGUAACUAUCUUUACUUGCUUAGUUCUUGUAUUUGUCUAUUGGCAGUUUGUAUGUAUGUUUCUCUAUCUUGUCAUUGAUAUAUUUAUCAGCUGGAAACAAUUUGUAAAUGUUUUUUAUUAUUUCCAGAUCAUCGUCUCAACAAGCUGCUGAAGAAAGACAUGAGUCGAGGAGCAAGUCGAGGAGCAAGGGUGACCAACACAUGCUGCCGUGGACAGUUUUAUGUUUUCUAAAGUUUUUUGGAUUGCUCUUCCAUGUAGGCCGGAAAUUCUCUUGUGGAAGUGGUGGAGGAGGCAACGACAUCACAAUCUCAUUGACUACAUCCAGUUAAGCAACGUAGUUAUAUGAAGUAGUGCAAUACAAUAUGAACGUCUAUUUGUGAUAACUAGCUGUCUCUUGUGUAUUUAGUCAGAUCACCUGCUACCGUUUCUAUGCCAUCAAUGAGACAACUUGCCAUCUUUGUUGAAGCAAUUGAAGAAAAUGCAGAAGAGUCGCCAGACAGAACAGUCACACAAACGUCUGUCACAAGCAAUCCAAUCUAUAAGCUCUGACAUUCCUGCAUGGAAUGACUGCAGAAUCCAAGGAAAGAAACAAACUUCAACAGGAAGAGAUAUGCCUGAUUGGGUGAAGUAAUUUCAAAUGGAACAUUCAGUUGUACAUUGUUUAUGAAGGUGGAGUGAGAUAGAAAGAUAAAGUCGGAUUGAAAGCUCUUCAUGUUCUCCGUCUAUCAGUAGGAAUAAUAGUGACACAUCAAAUGGUCUUCCUCUCCUGUCAUUGUGGUCACGUGACGCUUACUCUACAGGUCACGUGAUGUUUGUAACGCUAUGGAUGAGAACAAGCGUCUCAUAGUGUGAAGACUGAAUAUUUAAUUCUAGAUACUUUUAUUUGUUUAAGAGAUGUAUUGUAUUCAUCGAGUAUUUCCGGGUAAGCUAGUGGGACGU